Molecule: transfer RNA, 63 nt
Filed under: Mesocricetus auratus (golden hamster)
Lineage: Eukaryota; Metazoa; Chordata; Mammalia; Rodentia; Cricetidae
Rfam family: tRNA
About the family: Transfer RNA (tRNA) molecules are approximately 80 nucleotides in length. Their secondary structure includes four short double-helical elements and three loops (D, anti-codon, and T loops). Further hydrogen bonds mediate the characteristic L-shaped molecular structure. tRNAs have two regions of fundamental functional importance: the anti-codon, which is responsible for specific mRNA codon recognition, and the 3' end, to which the tRNAs corresponding amino acid is attached (by aminoacyl-tRNA synthetases). tRNAs cope with the degeneracy of the genetic code in two manners: having more than one tRNA (with a specific anti-codon) for a particular amino acid; and 'wobble' base-pairing, i.e. permitting non-standard base-pairing at the 3rd anti-codon position.
Source: Rfam by way of RNAcentral
GGGGAUUUAGCUCAGUGGUGGAGUGUGUGCUUUGAAUGCACAAGGUCCUGGAUUGGAUCCUCA